GGCCUGGUGGCAUAACGGUAACGCGCGCACUCGAGUUUUCUACUUCUCCACGAUAUUACAAUUGCGAGACCCUCGUUCGAUUCGAGGUCAGGCCA
Non-coding RNA from Mycena alexandri, 95 nucleotides. The record is from the annotation of a GenBank genome assembly. Lineage: Eukaryota; Fungi; Basidiomycota; Agaricomycetes; Agaricales; Mycenaceae.